Molecule: long non-coding RNA, 22715 nt
Filed under: Olea europaea (common olive)
Lineage: Eukaryota; Viridiplantae; Streptophyta; Magnoliopsida; Lamiales; Oleaceae
Description: long non-coding RNA (OEUR_LNC008582)
Source: RNAcentral
AAAAAGAAAAAAAGUUAAUGAAUAAAUUUCAAUUAUACUCCCAAACUUUUUAAAAAAGUACAAAUGAGUACAAAUAAAUUAUUAAAAGGGUAAUUAGCCAAAAAAAAGUUCCUAUCUUUCAUUAUUAUUGUGCAAAACAUCUAUACUUUUCAUUUUUUUACAUUUUCGUCCUUAUUUUAUAUUUCAUUGUGAAAAUCGUUAUUUUUAUCCAUUUUCUUAAUUAAAAGUUGUAAAAUGAUAAAUAUACGCUCCUCUUUAAAUAAAUAAAUAAAAUAUAUAGAAAUGUAAAGAACAAAUUUCAACUAUGUUUUCAAAAUUUUCAAAAAAAGUACAAAUAAAUUUCAAAUAAAUAAUUUAAAAAUCAACUGAUUUUUAAAUUAUUUAUUUGAAAUUUAUUUGUACUUUUUUGAAAAUUUUGGAAGUAUAAUUGCAAUUUGUUUUUAUUUUUUCUUUUCUUUAUUUUUUAUUAUUUAAAGAGUAUGGUAUAUUUGUCAUUUUACAGUUUUUAAUUGAGAAAAUGUAUGAAAAUAACGAUUUUUGCAAUUAAAUAUAAACAUAAGGGUGAAAAUAUCAAAAAAUGAAAUGUAUGGACAUUUUACACAAUAAUAAUGAAAAAUAUAGACGUUUUGUGCUAAUGACCAUUUUAAUAAUUUAUUUGGAUUCAUUUGCACUUUUUAAAAAAGUUUGGAAGUAUAAUUGCAAUUUAUUCUUUAACUUUUCUUUUCUUUUUUAUUGUUUUAUUUUAAAUAUGGGUAUAUAUGUCAUUCUACGCGAGAAUUUGAUGAAAUUAUGAUUUUCGUAAUAAAAGGUGAAGAAAAGGAUAGAAGUGUCAAAAAAUGAAAGAUGUCGUUUUGCACAAUAAUAUUGAAAAAUAUGGACAUUUUGUGCUAAUUACAAAUACAAUAUUCUAUCCUAUCUAUAUAUCUACCCCAUGAAGGCAAAUAUCUCACACCACAGAAAAAGACAUCUCACGACUAGGGAGAGUGAAUAGUUGAUAUGUACAGUGGCAAUAGUUUCAUAUCUUUUGUCAAAAAGGAAAUUUGAAGUGUGGAAUCUCUUGAUUUUCUUUCAAAAAUUUAUUUGAUCUGACGAGGUAGGACAACGGGGUGCUGUUGGGGUGCUGUUGCUUUUUAUCCUAUUUAAAUUACCUUUUUUUUAUGUUGUUAAAGUAUUAUGCUAAUGAAAGUUAAAAAUAUGACAUUUUAUCUAUGUUAUGGCCAUCCGAUAUCAAAUAUAUGAUAUUUAUUGAACUCUUAUAGAUUUUUAAAGAUAUAAUGACGCAUGACAUUUUUGAUACAUGUUUUUCUUAAAAGUUUAAAUGAAAUUUUUAAUAAUGAUUUAAAAACUUAAAAACUUGGAUUAUUACAUAAGCACCAUCUGGCUAAUCAAUAGCAGCCAAAACGCUGCCAAAUUGUACAUUGUCGAUGAGUCCAUCAAAUGUACAUGUCAUCAAGCUUAAAAAGAAGUAAAAAUUCAAAAUUUUGAUUUCCAAAAGUAUUUGAAUAAGUUAAAUUUUCUUACUUAUUUAAAAAAAAUUAUUUGUUAAUACACUCGCAAAAUAAAAAAUUUGAAAUAUAUGACAAUAUUGAGUGUUAUAAAAUGGAGUUUCUUUAGUUACUAGGACUCUUCAUCAUUAUCAUUAUUUAUAUAUAAUUUCUACAUAAUUAUAUUACAAAACAUUAUAUUAAUUUUUUAUUGUAUAUAGUUCGAUUAAUUAGGAAACUUUGGAGAAAGAAAUAUUAUGAUACUGUAAACAAAAUAAAGUAAUAGUAAGGUCGAAUAAAAAGUUGUUUGAGUAAUUCAGGGGAGCAGCAUGCCCCCACUCCCACCCCUACAAUUGGCUGAGAGUCAAGUUGCUUGAGUAAUUCUCAUCCAUUUACUAUUAGGGUGCGUUUGAUUAUCAAUAUUUUUCAUGAAAAAUGUGUCAUCUUUAGUUUAUUUUGUAUCAAACAUCAUAAUAUUUCUUUCUCUAAAUUCUCCUAAUUAAUCAAACUACAUACAAUAAAUGAAAAUUAAUAUUUUUGUGACGUACCAGUUUGUACUCUCCGAUAUGCCACUUUGGUGCGGUGACAUAUGAAUAGUCAAGGAAUGAUGACGAGUGUAAAUCCUUGAUCUUGUAUCCACUUUGAUUUUUCACCAUCACUUUGAAGUUCUUAAAGUUUCAAAUGCAUCAGCCUUUUCUCUAAAAGAUAAACCCUAGUUGUGUGAGAAAAAUCAUCAAUAUAUAACAUGAAAUAAUUAUUUUUACACCAUAAAUAUUUGUAUGCACCAAUUCAAGAGGCUUUGUUGCUCAGUAACUUGCUUCUUUUGGAAAAGCCUUUCGAAAUUGCUUCCCAUAGAGACAUCAUUCACAAAGUUGAUUUGGUUGAUGAAUAUGUGGCAUUUCCUUCACCAUGUUCUUUUUCGCCAAGAGAUUCAAACUGUCAAAAUUUAGAUGUUUGAGUCUCAAAUGCCAUAGCCAUGUUGAAUCUUUGAUACAUGCAUUCAAGCAUUUAACUGAAUUAGAAUUUUUACUCAAAUGCCAUAGCCAAGUUCCUGUUUUGUUCUGGAAUUAUCAUUUGUUAAUUUCUCAUUUGGAUGUCGUAUCACUUCUCCAAAAGUUAGCCCAAGCUCAGAAUAUUUGUUUUCAUAGAAGGAACAUAAUAGACAUUGGAAAUAUAUUGGUGUUUUCCGUUCUUCAUUUGAAUAAAAAAAUUACCUUUUCCCUUGACUUCAACCUUUGAUGCAUCUCCAAAUGUGACAUGGCUAUUUACCUCUUCAAGCUCCAUGAAAAUAGAUUUGGCUCCACACAUGUGGUUACUUGCACCAACGUCUAAAUACCAAGAAUAGUUACCUCCUUCUUGCACCUUGUAUGUCAAGAGUAAUGUUCCUUCUCCUCUGUCUUUUCAAUGUAAUUGGACUACUCCUCAACAUUAUUAUUCCUACACUCCCAUGCGAAAUGUCAAAGUUUGUGACAGUUGUAACAUUCGACUUGAGAGAUUCAUAUUUUCCACCACUGUUUCUUCUUUCUCCUCCUCUUUGAUAAUUUUGUCUUCCUCGUCUUCUCGAAUUAGUGUUGAUAAGUCCCUUUAUUGUUGUUGAUUUUUUGGAAAUUUCUAUCUCCUCUUCCUUGACCUAUUCCACGUCCUGUUUCUCAUUGGCUCCUACUGUAUUUCUCUUUCUUGUCUUCAAAAGAAGACUUGUUCUACCAGUUGUUGUUUCUUCUUUAACCUCUCCUUCUCAGCUUGUAAGGUGCCCAUGACUUAAUCAAUAGUCAUUUCUUUCAAAUCCUUCGACUCUUCAAUUGCCACAACAAUAAAAUUGAAUUUUUCAUGUAAAGACCGAAAAAAAUUUGAUCGCUUGAAGAUCAUUCAUUUCUUCUCCACUUCGUCCCCUUCAUAUUCUCCCCUCAAAGAUUGAAAACGAACCAUUUUUACUUUGGUUGCACCUGUGUAGGUGUUUUCAAGAAUCUCCCAUGCUUGCCUUGGGGUAGUAGUAUUAGAACCUUUUGAAAAAUUGUAUCAUCAAGUACUGGAUAGAUCACACUUACAGCCUUUUGAUCCUUCCUCUUAGUUGUUUGUUGCAAGUCUCUUUGGGCUUGACACAAGCCUUCAUCAUUUUGAAGUUCAAAAUCUCUCUCUACCAAGUCCCAUAUAUCUUGACUUUCAAGAUAUGCCUUCGUACGGAUGUACCACGUACUAUAAUUGUCAUAUGAGAGUUGAGGAACUGAAAGAGAGUUGUUGUUUGCCAUCUCUUCUUCUCACACUUGUACAACCUCACUCCGAUACCACUUUUGUUGGAAACGAUGAAAUAACUUUAAGAAAGGAGAGAGGAUAAAUUCAAGAGAACAUUCAGCUUUUAUUUUUUGAAUAUGCUUGUACAAAUACUAGAAUCACAAGCCUUUUAUAGGCUUUACAAAGAAUGUACCUAAUCAAGUACAUGUUUUCACCAUUAUUACAUUCUUCAUUCUAAAGCGAUUCAGUAAAAUAUCAACAUACAUGAACAACCAGUACAUGAAUCCAUUGUACAUGUUCAUUAAUUAGAACACAUGUAUAACUUAUAUUUCUAACAUUUCUUACAUUAAGCAUAUAUAACACGAAUGUACAUAAAUUCUCGAGUUUGUUAUUCGACAUCAAGAAGAUUAAUGAACAGUGGAGACAUUUCUGUUGAAUUUGUGCCUCAAAAUAAGGAAAUAUUGAAGAUUGCCUGUGAUCCUUAAACUUGGAAAUAUCAAAGUGGUAGACAAAAGGAAAUGGGAUCAAUUGGUAUCCAAAUCCGAGACACGUUAAUAUGGAAAGAAUCAAAGGAAUAAGGAAGAAAAAUAUGUGUACCGUGGACAGAUUUUUUUUACACGUUUUUUUCCUUUUAAUUUCCAUCUUUUGCCAAGACUCGUGUAUACACGUUUUUUUCUUUUAAUUUUCAUAUUUUGCCAAGACUCGUGUACUAUAAAUAUAGGACUCCUCUUUCAGUAUUGUUAGAAGCCUUUUGUUGUAUUGUGCUCCCCUUUCAUAGUGAAUUAAUAAAACAUCGUUCCUUCUGUCAGUUCUUCUUCAUCAUAAUAUUUCUUUCUCUAAAUUCUCCUAAUUAAUCAAACUACAUACAAUAAAUGAAAAUUAAUAUUUUUGUGACGUACCAGUUUGUACUCUCCGAUAUGCCACUUUGGUGCGGUGACAUAUGAAUAGUCAAGGAAUGAUGACGAGUGUAAAUCCUUGAUCUUGUAUCCACUUUGAUUUUUCACCAUCACUUUGAAGUUCUUAAAGUUUCAAAUGCAUCAGCCUUUUCUCUAAAAGAUAAACCCUAGUUGUGUGAGAAAAAUCAUCAAUAUAUAACAUGAAAUAAUUAUUUUUACACCAUAAAUAUUUGUAUGCACCAAUUCAAGAGGCUUUGUUGCUCAGUAACUUGCUUCUUUUGGAAAAGCCUUUCGAAAUUGCUUCCCAUAGAGACAUCAUUCACAAAGUUGAUUUGGUUGAUGAAUAUGUGGCAUUUCCUUCACCAUGUUCUUUUUCGCCAAGAGAUUCAAACUGUCAAAAUUUAGAUGUUUGAGUCUCAAAUGCCAUAGCCAUGUUGAAUCUUUGAUACAUGCAUUCAAGCAUUUAACUGAAUUAGAAUUUUUACUCAAAUGCCAUAGCCAAGUUCCUGUUUUGUUCUGGAAUUAUCAUUUGUUAAUUUCUCAUUUGGAUGUCGUAUCACUUCUCCAAAAGUUAGCCCAAGCUCAGAAUAUUUGUUUUCAUAGAAGGAACAUAAUAGACAUUGGAAAUAUAUUGGUGUUCUCCGUUCUUCAUUUGAAUAAAAAAAUUACCUUUUCCCUUGACUUCAACCUUUGAUGCAUCUCCAAAUGUGACAUGGCUAUUUACCUCUUCAAGCUCCAUGAAAAUAGAUUUGGCUCCACACAUGUGGUUACUUGCACCAACGUCUAAAUACCAAGAAUAGUUACCUCCUUCUUGCACCUUGUAUGUCAAGAGUAAUGUUCCUUCUCCUCUGUCUUUUCAAUGUAAUUGGACUACUCCUCAACAUUAUUAUUCCUACACUCCCAUGCGAAAUGUCAAAGUUUGUGACAGUUGUAACAUUCGACUUGAGAGAUUCAUAUUUUCCACCACUGUUUCUUCUUUCUCCUCCUCUUUGAUAAUUUUGUCUUCCUCGUCUUCUCGAAUUAGUGUUGAUAAGUCCCUUUAUUGUUGUUGAUUUUUUGGAAAUUUCUAUCUCCUCUUCCUUGACCUAUUCCACGUCCUGUUUCUCAUUGGCUCCUACUGUAUUUCUUCUUCUUGUCUUCAAAAGAAGACUUGUUCUACCAGUUGUUGUUUCUUCUUUAACCUCUCCUUCUCAGCUUGUAAGGUGCCCAUGACUUAAUCAAUAGUCAUUUCUUUCAAAUCCUUCGACUCUUCAAUUGCCACAACAAUAAAAUUGAAUUUUUCAUGUAAAGACCGAAAAAAAUUUGAUCGCUUGAAGAUCAUUCAUUUCUUCUCCACUUCGUCCCCUUCAUAUUCUCCCCUCAAAGAUUGAAAACGAACCAUUUUUACUUUGGUUGCACCUGUGUAGGUGUUUUCAAGAAUCUCCCAUGCUUGCCUUGGGGUAGUAGUAUUAGAACCUUUUGAAAAAUUGUAUCAUCAAGUACUGGAUAGAUCACACUUACAGCCUUUUGAUCCUUCCUCUUAGUUGUUUGUUGCAAGUCUCUUUGGGCUUGACACAAGCCUUCAUCAUUUUGAAGUUCAAAAUCUCUCUCUACCAAGUCCCAUAUAUCUUGACUUUCAAGAUAUGCCUUCGUACGGAUGUACCACGUACUAUAAUUGUCAUAUGAGAGUUGAGGAACUGAAAGAGAGUUGUUGUUUGCCAUCUCUUCUUCUCACACUUGUACAACCUCACUCCGAUACCACUUUUGUUGGAAACGAUGAAAUAACUUUAAGAAAGGAGAGAGGAUAAAUUCAAGAGAACAUUCAGCUUUUAUUUUUUGAAUAUGCUUGUACAAAUACUAGAAUCACAAGCCUUUUAUAGGCUUUACAAAGAAUGUACCUAAUCAAGUACAUGUUUUCACCAUUAUUACAUUCUUCAUUCUAAAGCGAUUCAGUAAAAUAUCAACAUACAUGAACAACCAGUACAUGAAUCCAUUGUACAUGUUCAUUAAUUAGAACACAUGUAUAACUUAUAUUUCUAACAUUUCUUACAUUAAGCAUAUAUAACACGAAUGUACAUAAAUUCUCGAGUUUGUUAUUCGACAUCAAGAAGAUUAAUGAACAGUGGAGACAUUUCUGUUGAAUUUGUGCCUCAAAAUAAGGAAAUAUUGAAGAUUGCCUGUGAUCCUUAAACUUGGAAAUAUCAAAGUGGUAGACAAAAGGAAAUGGGAUCAAUUGGUAUCCAAAUCCGAGACACGUUAAUAUGGAAAGAAUCAAAGGAAUAAGGAAGAAAAAUAUGUGUGCCAUGGGUAGAUUUUUUUACACGUUUUUUUCUUUUAAUUUUCAUAUUUUGCCAAGACUCGUGUACUAUAAAUAUAGGACUCCUCUUUUAGUAUUGUUAGAAGCCUUUUGUUGUAUUGUGCUCCCCUUUCAUAGUGAAUUAAUAAAACAUCGUUCCUUCUGUCAGUUCUUCUUUUACUUACUUUAAUCUUGUUCUUGGAUUAUUUGUGAUAUUAUUCAAUACUUCAAUUACAAAAAGCUGUAUUCAUUAAAUCUCAAUUCCUGCAUUAUUGGUCAAUCGGUCUCAACAAGUGGUAUCAGAGCGGGGUUGUUGGUGGAUUUUUGGCCUGAAACUGAUCGAAAAAUCGUCUGAAAAUUACCAGAAAAUCAGAAAACGAAUCUGUCCAAUUUUUCGAUUUUCUGCCGGAUCUAUUUUUGCGUUUUCUGGUCAAACCAAAAAGAGUUUGGAGAAAUAAACACCACCAGUGGACUCAGCAGACAGAAAUGAUCCAGAAAGGGUCACAGGUCGUCGGCGAGUUUUCGGCCAGUCGCCGGCGGUGGAACUCGGCGUGUGCGGUGGUUUCCGACGACAGUGUCUUCAGACAGUUUUCUCUAGACAACGAGACGGACCUUGUGGUGGUAUCCAAUUUCAGUUUUGGGCAAAAUUAUGGUUCUAAACUAUUUUGCCCUUUGCACGUUCGGUAGUUUUCAAUUUUGGGUGUUGCAGGUUGCAAGUUCUACUUGAUUUGAUUGAGAUUUUUUAGAGAUGAAUUCGUUGAAGUAUGAAAUUUCGCUAUUGGAUCACAAUACAAGAUUUUUGUUGUGGCAAGUAAAGGUGAAAGCUGUGUUGACGCAGAUGGAUCUUGAUGAUGCUUUGAUGGGUUUUGAUAGGAUGCCAGCAAAUUUGUCUAUGGAGGAGAAACAACGGAAGGAUCGGAAGGCUUUAGCGCAAAUCCAACUUCCUUUAUCCAACAAUUUGCUGCAAGAUGUUUUGAAGGAGAAGACAGCGGCUGCUUUGUGGCUCAAGUUGGAACAGUUGUGCAUGACAAAGAGGUUGACGAGCAAACUGACUCUAAAGCAGAGGUUGUAUUCUCAUCGCAUGGCGGAAGGAAGGUCACUACAGGACCACCUUGCUGUGUUCAAGGAGAUCGUUGCAGAUUUGGAGACGUUGGAGGUAAAAUAUGAUGAAGAUGAUCUAGCCUUGGUCCUGUUGUGUUCGCUACCCAAUUCGUUUUCGUCAUUUCGUGAUACUAUUUUGUAUAGUCGUGACACGUUAUCCAUUGAGGAGGUAUACGACGCCCUGUUCUCAAAAGAGAAGAUGGAGUUGUUGGUUGGAGAUCCUGCAUCUAGGAGUGGGGAUGCUCUUGUUACUCAUGGUGAUCGAUAGAGGGGUAGAUCGAAGGUGAAGUACAGCAAUGUGUAUUGUUAUUACUGCAAGAGGAAAGGAUACAUCAAGAAAGAUUGCGACAAGUUGCAAGGUAAAGGUGAUUUACAUGCAAAUCAUGCGGGGCAAUCAGGUAAUUCGAACGAAACUAAUAUUGCUGAAAAUUUUUGUGAUGAUGGAGAUGUGAUGUUGGCUGCAUCUGACGGGGAAUCCAAAUCUGAGGAGUGGAUUCUGGAUUCUGCUUGUUCGUAUCAUAUGUGUCCCAAUAGGGCUUUGUUUCAAACAUAUAAGAUAGUGAAGCAAGGUGGAGUUGUCAUGGGAAACAACCAAUCUUGCCAAGUUGCAGAAAUCGGUCGAGUCAGAUUGAGGCUACAGGAUGGAACAGUGAGGACACUUGAUCAAGUUCGCCAUGUUCCAGACUUGACAAAGAAUCUCAUAUCACUUAGUACCUUGGAUGAAAAAGGGUAAAAAUUUUCUGGUGGAGGUGGAGUCUUGAAGGUUCGAAUGGGUGUCCAGGUUGUACUGGAGGGAUGGAGGAAAUCCCAGUUGUACAUCUUGCAGGGGAGCGCAAAACCAGUUUAGAGACAUUUGGAAAAAUUUAGUACCGUGAUGGACAUUCAAUUUGAUACAGUACCUCUCGGGUUUGGCUCUAGGUUAGUUAAGAACUUUGCUCAAGAGAGUGUUGGUGAUUCCGUUUUGCUACCAAUUUUAGCGGGUACAUUGUGUUCUUGUAAUGCCAAUGGACUCAUGGAGCGUAGGUACAAUUUUGGAGAUGUCUGUAAUACUUUAGAAAUCAUUGAAGGUGACAAUAUUGACAAGGGACCUUCUGAUUGUGCAUUUGGUGUGGUUUCUGCUACAGGGUAAACUUCAACCCUAUCCAGUGAUUGUUAAUUCCAGGAGGAAUUUUGGGAACCCGGGUUUGGAUUCGGGUGUCACUUGUGGACGCCGGGCGGGGGAAUGUGUUAUCGUGGAAAGUUUGGUUACUGUGUCGAGGAGUUUGGUUAUUCUGAUGUAGACGUAUUAUUUCUUAAAGUGGAGAAAUUUUGGAGUUUCGUUCAUUACACUGGAUUUUGAGUCAAGGUGGAGAUUGUUGAAUUUGUGCCUCAAAAUAAGAAAAUAUUGAAGAUUGCGUGUGAUCCUUAAACUUGGAAAUAUCAAAGUGGUAGACAAAAGGAAAUGGGAUCAAUUGGUAUCCAAUCUAAGACACGUUAAUAUGGAAAGAAUCAAAGGAAUAAGGAAGAAAAAUCAAAAAUGUGUGCCGUGUUACACGUUUUUUUCUUUUAAUUUCCAUAUUUUGUCAAGACUCGUGUACUAUAAAUAUAGGACUCCUCUUUCAGUAUUGUUAGAAGCCUUUUGCUGUAUUGUGCUCUCAUUUCAUAGUGAAUUAAUAAAACAUCGUUCCUUCUGCCAGUUAUCUUGUUCUUGGAUUAUUUGUGAUCUUGUUCAAUACUUCAAUUACAACAACUUGUAUUCAUUAAAUCUCAAUUCCUGCAUUAUUGGUCAAUCGGUCUCAACAAUUUCAUGGUAUGCCUUUUCAGGAGAAAGUAAAUUAGCAGCCUCUGUAGGAUGGAAUCCAUCCCAAAACAUGUAGUUGUCUCUGUUAUUGCACGGAACAGCUUCAGGAAGACAGUGUCCUAAUUUGAUGGAGCCCAAAGUGGAGUGCUCAAAUCUGUGAUGUUUCCUGUAAUAAUGUAGUAACGACUAGUCCAAUUGAACAGUUUUUGUUGAAGAAUAAGUUUAAAUAAAUUGAUGUUGUCACGACAAUCAAAAAAUUAAAUGCAUAAAAGUAGGGAAGGAGAAGCACACCAUAUGAAUCAGUACCAGUGUUUGUGUCUAUGAAAUUUGCAUAUGCGAUAUGAUAGUUUAGAUAAUCAAGAAGUUUCUUCAGUUUGCCGUUCAAUAUUUCAAAUAUUUUGGCGGCAUUAUUGAUUGGUUUCACGCACAAUGAGUCAUUCGAGCCAUACAAAGCUAUCUAUGUACAGCUACUUUUCUUACUCCAUAUUUAUACAACUUCUGCAAUAAAGUAAAAGUAUGUGUAAAAUUAAAGUAGAACGUGUUUGGUAUGUUGAACUGAACAUGAUUGUAUCGGAUUAAGGAAAAAUUGGAGGUGCAGCCUCUAAAUUUCAACAAAUAAAGCUCGUAAAUUCCCAGUAAGUUCUUUAUAGACUUCAGCAUCCAAACUUUUCAUCUUUGAUGCCGGUUCCAACAUGUAGAAAUUCGGUUUUUCUGUCGAACAGUUACCUGCUUUGCAAAUGAUGACUUGCUCAAGGGUUAUUUCGUCUACACAUUUUUUCCUUUCAAAAAGGUUACAAAGGGGAAAAGAAAAGACAUCAGCACCUAAAAGUCAGUAGUCCACUUCCCAUAUUCUUAACUGUUCUUGAGAAAUAAAAAAUAGAAACCUCCAAAUAAGUCAUCACGCUCAAACCAGUGACUGUUUGAUGGCAAAAUUGAUGAAUUGCAUCCGAUAAUAUUGACAUAUACCAAAAUUGAAGUUGUUGGAAACCAAAAAGAAAAAUAAAAAGAUCAGGGAUUGACGUACUAUAUUUUUGAAGUUUUGGCACCCAACUGCAAAUUUCUAAGAAAUGACAGACAAAAUUUGUGUACCGAAUAUGUAAAAAGUGUAAGAGAAAGAAACGCUCACUCUUAGCUGUUACAAUUCUGAUAAGAAUCACAGCAAAUAGCUCUGGUGUAUAUAGCUAGGCUGCUUAAAGAGUAAAAUUGUGGUAAGUAGUAAUUGUUUAAGUGAUCGCUUGUAUGCACUUGUUUAGAUAGUUUAAAGUAAACUUUUCACCUCCAACUAAGGCUGCAAUCUUUGACAUCAUGACUUUGUGAUUUACUAAUUACUUGUUCAUGCUGAUCACAGCAACCUUCAAAGCAACAAAUAUUUAUCUUUUUUAUAAGUAUGCUCAAUAUAAGGCUAUAUAAAUAUAUAGUCAUUAGCUAAGAAAUUUGUCAAUCUCGGAUGUUAGUUCUCCGUGCAAGUUGUGCUCUCGAAGACAAUGGGCUGAGUAUGUUGUAGCAAUGCAUUAUGCUUCUUAGUUUCGGGUUACUAAUUUGUCGCCGUAGUUUUUCACUAUUUCACAUUAUACACCAAAAAUUAGCCUCCUAAAAUUCUUUAUGAUGGGGGUGAUGUAAUAUGUAUAUGAAUACUCAAUAUGAUAACAAACGUCGCACUCGGAGAGGAUGGAUAAGUUACAGUAUAAUUAGACUCUACACAAUUGCACAGUCUUCACAACUUUGUAUGUGUAAGAGAGAUAAUUUUCAAACCUCGGAAGUUCACCUGUGAAGAAAUUUCACUCAUAACAAAAGCAGCUUUUCUUGAAAGUAUAUGAGGACAUACUUAAAGGUUGAACCUCAACCUUGAGGGCCUCCACCGCUCCGCCCCUAGAGCCUUGUGAGGGAGGUAAAUCGCGAGAUGUGCCCCAACAGGCCAGGGAACAAGAACUGUCUGUACACUGCGCCUACAAGGAGUUCAAUUCCAUGUAUCAGGAAUCGAACCCCCACACUGCGGCUGCAGCAAGACGUGAGAUAACCUCACUCAUGUCCUUUACAUUAUUGGACUAUGUCCCGAGAGUCAAGUAUAUGAGGACAUACUUGUUCGUAGAAAACAUGAUGUAAGUGAAGGUAAGUAAAGGAAAUGAGAAGACUAACCUAUCCUUUGUAUGUGUGUGAGAGAUAAUUUUCAAAUCCCAGAAGUUUACCUGUCAUGAAAUUUCACUCAAAACAAAAGCAGCUUUUCUUAAAAGUAUAUGAGGACAUACUUGUUCAUAGAAAACAUGAUGUAAGUGAAGGUAAGUAAAGGAAAAUGAGAAGACUAACCUAUCAAAUCCGCUAUAUUCUUGCCAUUAGUGAAUAUCCCAGUUGGCAAAUCAAUUCCAUAAGGCAAAUAAUUGACUUUUGCAAUGGUAUUCAAAUUAUUAUAAUUUCCAUUAUCCACCAUUUAAGCCACCAAAUAUGAAGUAGCAAGGAAAUUUUGGAUCAGCAGAGACUAAUUGUGCCUCUAAACUUAAGGAUACUUCUACAACGGAAAACUGGAUGAACCAGAUAUUAGCUUAAUUAUUUUCCAUUGUUGAAGGAAAUUUAAGGUCAUAGUGGCUUAUUGAAAAUGAGUGGUCGACAGAGACAAUACGACUGGCAAGUGACACUAUUUACAUGGCAGGGGCACCUCAUGAUUAUUCUGGUGUGUCAUAAAUUACCUCUUGGCUUCUCUUCAGCCAUGAAAAUCACAUGUAUUUUAAACACAAGAGGGACAUACCCGACCUACAAAAAUGUAGAAAGAAACGAUACAAUGAUAUGACACAAAAACUGUACGCACGAGUUCUUGAAAAUGUAAUUUUUACUCAAAUCUAAGAAAAAAUCAACUUUCUCGGACAUACAAAAUUUUGAUUUCCAAAGAUGUUCGAAUAAGUUAAUUUUUUCUUAGAUUUAAGUAAAAAUUUUAAGUUCAAGAACUCGUGUGUACAGUUUUUUUUGUGUCAUAUCAUAGCGUUUCUUUCUACAUUAUUGAAGGUCGGGUAUGUUCCUCGUGUUUAAGAUACCUGCGAUUUUCAUGGCUGAAGAGAAACCAAGAGGGUAAUUUAUGAUACCCCAGAAAAAUCAAGAGACUGCCCCUUACCAUUUACUACUAAUUAUCAUGAGGUACCCGGUACCCCUUGCCUGUAUAUAUUAUAUUAUCAGUUGCCAGUCUUACCGUCCCUGUCUACCACUCAUUUUCAAUAAGCCACUUUGAGCUUAAACUUCCUUCAACAAUGGAAAAUAAUCUAAAAGUCUGGUUCAUCCAGUUUUUCAUUGUAGGAGUAUCCUUAAGUUUAAAGGCACAAUUAGUCUCUGCUGAACCAAAAUUUCCUUGCUACUUCAUUUUUGGUGACUCGUUAGUGGAUAAUGGAAAUAAUAAUAAUUUGAAUACCAGUGCAAAAGUCAAUUAUUUGCCUUAUGGAAUUGAUUUUCCACAAGGGCCGACUGGGAGAUUCACUAAUGGCAAGAAUAUAGCAGAUUUGAUAGGUUACUCUUCUCAUUUUCCUUUACUUACAUCAUGUUUUCUAUGAACAAGNNNNNNNNNNNNNNNNNNNNNNNNNNNNNNNNNNNNNNNNNNNNNNNNNNNNNNNNNNNNNNNNNNNNNNNNNNNNNNNNNNNNNNNNNNNNNNNNNNNNNNNNNNNNNNNNNNNNNNNNNNNNNNNNNNNNNNNNNNNNNNNNNNNNNNNNNNNNNNNNNNNNNNNNNNNNNNNNNNNNNNNNNNNNNNNNNNNNNNNNNNNNNNNNNNNNNNNNNNNNNNNNNNNNNNNNNNNNNNNNNNNNNNNNNNNNNNNNNNNNNNNNNNNNNNNNNNNNNNNUCUCUCUCUCUCUGUCUCUCUUACUCACACACACACACAUAGAGUCGUGAAGAUGGUAUGAUUGUGCAGAAUCUAUUUAUAUUAUAACUCAUCCAGUUAUCCUCUAUGAGUGCGACCUUUGUUGUCAUAUUGAGUAUUGUACACAUAUUACAUCACCCCAUCAUGAAGAAUUUUAGGAGGCUAAUCUUUGAUGUAUAAUAUGUUAAAUGAUCCUUUAAUCUUUUUCUUAAUUAACUAUAGUGAAAAAGACUACAAAUAAAAAACACACAAAAAAGAAACAGAAACCACUGCUACUAUAUAUAUAUAUAUAUAUAUAUAGCCUUAAAUAGAGCAUAUAUUUAUAAAAGAGAUUACUUUUUGUUACUUUGAAGGGUGCUGUGAUCAGCUUGAACAAGCAAUUAGUAAAUCACAGAGUCAUGAAGUCAAGGCUUGCUGCCUUAGUUGGAGGUGAAAAAUUUGCAAAACAGUAUCUAAGCAAGUGCAUAUAUACAAUUGUGAUGGGCAAUAACGAUUACCUAAACAAUUACUACUUGCCACAAUUCUACUCUUCAAGCAGCCUAUAUACACCAGAGGAGUUCGCUGCAAUUCUUAUCAGACAGUACUCUAAACAGCUAACAGUGAGCAUUUCUUUCUCUUUCACUUUUUACAUGUUGUGACUAAAGUCUGCAAAGAACUUAUUGGGAGUUUCAUGAGCUUUAUUUGUCGAAGUUUAAAGACUGGGCCUGCAAUUUUUCGUUAAUUCUAUACAAUCGUGUUCACUUCAAUAUACCAAACACGUUUCUGCUUUACUUUUACACGUACGUUUACUUUAUUGCAGAAGUUGUAUAAAUAUGGAGCAAGAAAAGUAGCUGUACUUGCACUUGGCCAAUUAGGCUGUUGUCCAGCAGAGGUAGCUUCAUAUGGCUCGAAUGACUCGUUUUGCAUAGAAACAAUCAAUAAUGCAGCCAAAUUAUUCAACGACAAACUGAAGCAACUUCUUGAUCAUUUCAACUAUCGUUUCGCAGAUGCAAAUUUCAUAUACACAAACACUGCUACCGAUUCAUAUGGUAUGCCUCUACUUCCCUACUUUUAUGUGUUUAACUUUCUGAAUGUCAUGAUGACAUUAAUUUAUUUAAAUUUAGUCUUCAACAAAAAUCGUUUGAUUAGAUUUGUCGUUACUACAUUAUCACAGGAAACAUCACAAAUUUGAGCACUCCAUGUUGUGCUCUCUCGGAUACUGGACGUUGUCUUGCCGGAGCUAUUACAUGCAAUAACAGAGACGACUACAUGUUUUGGGAUGGAUUCCAUCCUACUGAGGCAGCUAAUUUGCUUUCUGCAAAAAAGGCUUAUACUGAAAUGUCUCCACUGUUCACCAAUCUUAUUGAUGCCGUAUAAAAACUCGAGAAUUUAUGUCCGUUCAUGUUAUAUAUGCUCAUUGUAAGAAAUAAAUUUCAAAAAUAGAGUGAAUCUCAAAAAGAUAUAAAGAAUAUAGAGGAUCUCGAAAGAUAUGAAAUAUCUUCCCAAAGUAAUUUAAAAGAGAACUGAACCGAACCGAACUCGAAUUUUCGGUAUUUAAUAAAUAAAACCGUCGGGUUUGAAUAUAAUUAUGUAAUCGUUCGGAUUCGGUUUAGUUCGGUUUGAAUCGAUUCGAAUCGGUCAUGCAAUAAUUAAAAUUUUUAAUAUUUACAACGACGUUAUAUUAAUUCAACUAAUGAUAUGUGCAAUUUUAACUCUUACAAAAUGACGUAGUCUAAUCUUAUUUAUAUUAUUUGCAUCUCUCUUUUUUGAGUUCUUCAUAAAUUUGAUUAUUAAAAUCACAUAAAGAAGAAAAUAGCGAGCUCAUAAUAAUGAAGAAAGAUAUAGUCGAUCUUUCAAUUCAAUUUCUCUAAAACUAUAUAAACGACACUACUGUAGAAUAAUAGAUUUGGGUAAAAUUAAAAAUAGGAAAAUUAUAUUUAGGGUUUGAGCUAAAUUAAUUAGUUAGCAAAUUUAUUUAAAAAAUAUAAUUUGGCUCAUUUAAGAUAAAUAAAUUUUGAAAAAAUGAGCAGAUUCAAUUAUUAGGUUCUGGUCUAGAAUUGAGAACCAAACAAAAUUUGUCAGUUCUUGAUUCAGAUACACAUUUGAAUAUCUAAGAUAAGAAAAAUCGCUCGAUUCAGUUCAGUUCGGAAUGGGUCUGAUUUAAUUUGGGAUUUUUGUCCAGUCCUAACAAAAAGAAGGAAAUUUGCACAAUUGGUUCCCAAUCUAGUGGAUUACUAGCAAGUUGAGACUCAUUCUUUAAAAAGAUGCAAGUUGAUAUUCAACGCUUACAAUUGCACAAUUACGAAAAUUAUUUACAUUUGCAUAAAAUAAUCACUUGACCUUCACGUAUCUAGCUCCGUGAAACUAGAUUUUAUACUUGGACUAAUGUCCAUAAAUUUGAAAAACAUAUUUCAAACAGGAUCACGUAUGGUCCCCCAAUCCCCAUUUUCCUCUUGAAAACUUUGUGCCAUUUUCUCAGAUUUUGUGUUUUCUUAAGUAAAUGGCGUCAAAAAUUGUGAAGAGAACUCCCACAAAAUCCAUCAAGAACAGGAGAAAGCUCACUCAGCAAUGCUGCCGUAGCCAGAAGAGGUCACCCAUCAAGAAUGCCUCCGCCACCGCCACCGCCUCCGCCUCUGUGGUGUUUGCUUCUAUAUCAACAAGUCUAUUUAUGCUUGCCAGCGCCGCCUUAUCAAAAUUUUCACAAAAGUAGCUUGCGUUGCCACCCCCGAAGAAAACACCACAUAAGAAAAGGUAUCAAAUCCUUCAGAAAGACCAUGCCGACCCGCCAAAUUCUACCCGAAGAUCAAUGUUUAAUGAUAUGAUUCCUCUGCCACCGUUGCUUUCGCCCAAGAAGAAGACUAUUUUCCUCGAUUUAGACGAAACCUUGGUGCAUUUCAAGCCAGAACUGCCUCCAGAGAAGUACAAUUUCAUUGUUAGGCCAGUGUUUGAUGGAGAAAAGGUCGAAUUCUACGUGUUGAGGAGGCCAUUUGUAGAUGAAUUUUUGGAUUUUUUAAGCCAGAGAUUUGGGAUUGUGGUGCUCACUGCAGGGAUUUACGAGGAUGCUUCACUCGUGCUCGACAGGUUGGACUGGAGAUCCUGGAUAUCUCAUAGACUGUACCGGGAUUCAUGCAAGGAAGUCAAUGGGAUAUUCGUGAAGGAUUAGUCUAUUAUAGGGAGGGAUAUAGGGUGAGUGGCCAUCGUUAAUGACAACCCAAAUUCAUACGUGCUUCAGCCCGAUAAUGCCAUUCCAUUUCGACCCAUUGUCGAUGAUCUUGAAGAUGGGGAAUUGAAGAAGUUGAUUAAAUUCUUUGAAGGGUGUGAUUCUAUUGAAGACAUUAGCGAUGCUCUGAAGUUUUAUCUUGCAGAUCAAGAGGAGGAAAAGAAGGUAGAAGCUUAGUUUCAGUUAUUUCUUUUUUCUCUAUUUUGUAGUUAUAUUUAUUAUUUUAGUUUUCUUUUCAAACCUGCCUGCAUACAAUUUUAAACAUAAUGUGUUCAAUUUGAAAUCAGAAAGGAAACUGGGAACAGGGAAUAUCAAGUAUAAAAAUUAUCAAAAUUUCAGUUGAUCACUGUCAAAUGUUUUUAGCAGCUCUAUCAUUUUUGGGUUGCUUAGAAAUCCUUCAAAUUACAGAGUGGAACACUCGGUGCAUAUUUAGUACAUAGCACUAAAUAGAAGUAGACAGUACAAUGUGUAAGUGCAAAUGAAGGAAGUGUGACAUGUGCUCUUCACUUCAAGCUGCUAUGCUUAGCCAAUCAACUAGACAAAGCUGGGAUUUGGUCCUAAUAACCAGACUAGCUUAGCAUUUUAACUACUCUUCGUUGUUGGCUUUUGAAUGCUGAGUACAGUAGAAGAAAUGCAAAUUUAUCUAGGCUUUAUUGGCUGCCAGGUGCAAACUCUCAAGAUCAAAAUCACCAUUGUGCAAGAAACAUUAUCUCAUCACACUCAAUUCUCAUAUUCAAACUUUUGCAGUAUAAGUGGCAAAAGAUUUUUGAGUCUCACAUUCUGCUUUCACACCAUGUCCUGUUCAGGAUACUCAGACCACUUCAAAACAAAAAUGGUGAAAUACACUAAUAGACUGACCGACCGGUGACCCUUCUAAAUCAUGAUUGAUGAGCCUCUCUUCAUCGGUAGGCUAUUCCAUCAUCUUAUCAUUUUCACUAGGAUAAUUUCAGAGGUACUCAGCAUAAAUCAUGUAUUCGUAAUGUUGAAUAGAAAUGAUUUCAAAUAGUCAAUUUAUAAACUAGUAAAUUAUUAUUUAUUGAUAAAUUAGUAAUCCAUGUAAAGUAAUAAUAAUUUUUUUUUUUCCAAUUUUAACAUUCUUAUUUUAUAGAGUUUUUACUUUAUAUUGUUUGAUUAAUUAGGAGAGUUAGAGCAAAAAAUAUUGUGACUUCGUAAAGAAAAUAAGCUAACAUCGAAGAGAACUUCUUUUUAUUAUGUUAUUCAUUAACGUAUACACAUUGUUGCCUUUUCAAGGGGGGAAAAAAGGGUUAAAGUGCUAAUUUUGUACAAUAAUAAUGUAGAAGUAGAUGCACAAAUCAUGUAAAUAACCCUUUUAUACCAUGUUCAGUGAAGCGAAUUAUCUUAUACUACACAUACAAUUAAAUAUGUAGAUGUCCUUAAAUCACACGUAUAAGAAAAUUGAAUUUCAACAUUAAAACCAAGUAAUUUAAACUAGAACGGAAGACAAGGCUCAUCGUUGGUCUACAAAAAAAAUCUAUUUCUAUCAUUGACAUACUUUAUGAUGGUUGUGUGUCAAGAUUAAUUUCUAGUGGGGCCCUAAUUUUAUUAAAGAAAAAAAUUCAUAGUAGAUAGAUCACUGUUAUCAAAACACACAGACAAUGAAUGUUAGGAAUAAUAUUUGUGGCGUGUACGAUCAUGUGUGAUAGUCCUACUUGUCAAUUCGUGUUUGCCAUAUGAAUUCGGACUAGGAAUAGGAUAUCAUAGAUUUAUUAUAUUUUGGAAAAGAAUAAUAAAUAAAAGUGAAAUUAUUGAUCGUCACAAUCGCAUGAGUUGAGAUAAAUAUAACUGGUUGAGAAUUAGAACCAAGAAUGGAUCAGUGGCGUCGAAAAUCCAAUACGUUCACUCAUUUGAAUUUUAAAACAAACUUCCAUUAAUUUUACAAUUUUCAGUCACAGAACUUAAUUAAUUAUUCACAAAAUCAACUUUUGGUUACUAGCACGAAUUAAUUAUAUCAAAUACAUUAGAAUUAUAUCUUAUUCCCUAUGAUAUGAUAAUUCUUUCAUCACAAUUAUUACUUAUACAACGAACCCGUACAUUUGUGGGAUUUUCACAAACACCAAUCAACAGGACAAACCUGGGAUUUGGUCUGAGUAAUCAGACAAGCUUAGCAUUUUAAUUUCUCUUUCUUCUUAAUAUUGUCGAUUACUAUUUUUAGUAUACCUUAUGGGUCAUGCUACAAGGGUUCGAUUUGAUAGCUUGGAAUACUGAGUACAGUAGAAGAAAUGCAUAUUUUUAUCUGGGAUUUACUGGUUGCUGAUCUUUUGAUUACCCGCAAGUGAACGUGAUCGUGAACAAGUCAUGUAGCAGUGUAUAGAGUGUCGAACCCACAAAAAUUAUGUGUUUGAUCCAAUUAAAAUUAAUAAUACCCUUAAUGGAAUAGCAAAAUCAAGUUGUGACUAACCAAUAUUAAAUCUGACAACUAACUUGAAAGCAAAGUAAAAAUUUAUUAAAUUCGCGAGAAGUAUUGCUAAGAUGUGGAAUCCUCCUUGCUAAUCCAUUUUUUACGUUUCCAAUGUAUUGGACAGGAAUUUUGACAUUAUUGGGGAGAGUCACUGAUGCAUUCUGGACAUGUCUCAUUGUAUUAAAGGCAUAAACAUUUGAGCAAAUAUGGCUUGUAGCUUCAAAAUCAAUUACCCAAUUUGUGGGUGAAUCUAACAUUGGUUUGAAUGAAAUACAAAGACAAGUACGUGUAAUCUGAUCUGGACUAGCUUCCUGUUGUGUUUCAACCUUUGCAGCAAUGAGGUGAUCGUUCAACAUGCUUAGCAAAUGUUGAUAUUGAGUAGCAUUCAAUGUUUGCAUAAAAUCCCCAACCUUAUUUUGUGUUUGAUUUGAAUUUGAAAUCAAACCUGCUACAACACAAUUGGCUUGAUUCCUUGAUCCUCCAGUCCUUUGCUUAGGCUUGUAUCCAGGAGGAAAGCCAUGAAGUUUGUAACAUUUAUCAAUAACAUGAUCGGUGUAUCCACAAUAUGUGCACCUAGGCCUUUCUUUUUUUGAAACCUGUUUAUUGGUUAUCUUGCAGUCGACUUCCGGGCUCAUUUUUAACAUGAAAGGCCAUCGAUUCAUUAAUGUUGGUAAUAUCAUCAUUUGCAUUCACCUUCCUUUGAUUCUCCUCUUGUGCAACAAGAACAAAAACCUUAUUAAUUAGGGGAAUUGGAUCUAUUAGCAGCAGCUGGCCUCUUAUUUGAGCAAAGGACUCAUGCAAUCCCAUCAAGAACGACAUAACAUACUCCAUUUGAUAAUGUCCUGCAAGCUUUUUAUUUCUAACACAUACACAUUUGCCACACGAACAUAAAGGCCCACAGUUGCUAAGUUCUUCCCAAAUAGUUUUCAGCUUGGUGAAAUAGGCACUGACAAAUAAUUGGCCUUGUGUUAGAUUCAUCAGUUCACCCCUCAAUUGAAAAAUACGAGGACCAUUUUUCUAUUGAUAUCUCUCGAGAUCAACCCAAAUAUCAUGAGCUGACUCAGAGUACAUCACACUUGCUGAUAUUUCCUUCAACACUGAAUUGAGAAUCCAUAAAAUCACCAUGUUGUUGUUGCGGAUCCAGGCAUUGAGCAGAUCACCAGAAUUUUCAGGAGGCGAAAUGGAUCCAUCAAUAAAACCCAACUUGUUCUUCACAGAUAAUGCAAUUACCAUAGCUCAGCUCCACGAAGAAUAAUUGUCUCCUGUAAGAGGCUGUGAAACAAGCACCAAAUUGGGACUAUCUGAAUGGUGAAGAAAGUAGGGGUUUGAUCCAUCAUCACCUCCGAAACUGCUGGAUGAUGAUGCAGAAUCACGUGCGGAUUAAUUCGGAUUUUCUAUAGCCAUUGCUAAUUAAUUCAGAGACAGCGAAGGAGAAGCAUAAAGGCUUGCUCUGAUACCAUAUUAGAGAGAAGAAAUCUCUUUAUUUAGAAUGGAAAAAUGAAUACAUCUUGUCCGUAUAAAUACAAUUAGAACUAACUGAUUUUUACAGCUUUAUUCUAACUAACAAACUGACAGAUUUAACUAAAUAAAUUCUAUGAAUUUGGCGCCAAGAUGAGCUGAGCUAGAGUUCAACUGAGCUGGAAGUGAGCUGUCCUCUAGUACAAAGUCAAUAAUUAAUUUUAACCAUACAUUUCAUGGAAACCACAACUUUUCAACCAUACAUUUCAUGGAAGCCACAACUUUUCAACCAUACAUUUUAUCAACUUUUAUCAAAACCUAUUAAAAAUUUAAUUUGUAUCUGAACCAAGCAAAGACUUAGUUCUAUGCCAGAUGAUGGGCACAUUUGAGUAUCAACAUAAUAAUGUCCAUGCAAACAGUCCUAAAGACUGAGCUAUCUGCACCAAGCAACCUUGUAACGUUCCAGGUGCAAAAUCUCAAGAUCAAAAUCACCAUUGUGCAAGAAACAUUACCUCAUCACACUCGAUUCUCAUAGUCAAACUUUUGCAGUAUAAGUUGCAAAUGACUUUUGAGUCUCAUAUUCGACUUUCCUACCAUGUCCUGUCAGGAUGCUCAGACCACUUCAGAACAGAAAUGGUGAAAUAUGCUGACAGAUUGACCGACCCUUCUACCAAAUUUUUCAAAGCAACUUAGAUGAUGGAAAAGAAAAGAUACUGAACAGCGUUUAUAGGAAAGGACUUGCCAAAUGGAUCUAUUAUUACAAAAGAAGAGAGAAAAAAAAAACCAGGGAGGAUGAAGAAUCCUCUGGAAUUCAAACUAAAGAAGCUCCUUUAUUCAGUCGAUGGGGCUAUCACACGAGAAUGUUGCACUGUUAAGACAAAAUGUUCAUGAUUAUACCACUUAUGCAUCACAUUAUAGCAAUAACCAUUCAACCAUAAUAGACAGUUCCCCAAUCAUAACAGUGAAAUCAUACUUUAUGAUCCAUAACUUAAUCAAUCAUAAAGCGAGAAAAGUUGUGUCUUUCCAAGAAUCCAUUCGGUCUUCUUAUUCAUUAUAAAUCUAUCGGAUCGUCCUAAAGUAUUUUGCCUCAAUCAGAUGUUUGGCACUUUGCAACAACAUAAACCUCCGAAAAUAAGGCAAUCUUCAUUCCAAAAACCCCAUAAGCUACUCUAACAACAUCAUAAUCACUCACUUCAAGCAGAACAUAAAAACUGAAAGAAGAAGGGAUCAAAUCGAUACUUUUCCAGUCGUGGAUAAAAAAUAAAAAAAAAAACUUUCGUCAUUAAUAUAUAAAACAGCAAAACUAAGUAUUAAUUAUCAUGGGAACACCAUAAGCUAUCCAAACACAAUCAUCCCAAUUGAAAGCCUUCCUCAUUAUAAAUGUUCUGUAACCAUGUAAAUCAUCAUAAUUCAAACUAAAUCUCAUGAAAAUUUAACAAUACAGACACUGCACGACUCAUCAUUGCACAAAAUACAAGAUACAGUCAUAUAAAAAAAGAAAAAAAAAAAAAGGAAUUUUAAACCUCGAAUUUCGCCACUCGGUCUAAGAUGGAAUUAAUUAUAACUCACAAGAAAAGACCUGGGAAGGCAACCGCCAAGCUUCAUAUUUCGAAAAACACAUGUCAUCCAGAGCGUCGCUUUUGCACCAUCGACAAUUUGGAAUCUUGGCGCACUCGGAUCUGGAGCCCAAUUGCCCGCAAUCACUUGAUGAGUCGACCCGAUCAUCGUUCUUGAUAGUCCUAUAAGCAUAAGCUCGUGGUUCGGAUAAUGUACUUCCGAUUUGAUUCAGAACACCGGCGACAGAUACGACGACGUUUGAUGGAGUAGAGGAAGAGAUUAAUACUAAAAAUACGCAGAAAUAUAAGCUUAAACGAUUAACUAUUUCCAUUACGGUCAUUAACAAUAUAGAGUUUAUGUAAUUGGGAAUUGUGGUUUUGGGAAAAGAAACAGUAGAAAAUUUGAAGGAAAAAAAUUGGAAAAUCUUCGGGGCGUUUUGAUCUGUGUUGGUGUAAAAUUAGCAUCAGGUUAAUUCACAUGUAAAU